Molecule: transfer RNA, 65 nt
Filed under: Mileewa mira
Lineage: Eukaryota; Metazoa; Arthropoda; Insecta; Hemiptera; Cicadellidae
Description: tRNA-Arg
Source: RNAcentral
AAGCAUAGAAGUAAAUUUUACAAUUAGUUUCGACCUAAUCUUAAGGUUAUUAUUCCUCAUGUUUA